UACGUGGGUGGCAAGCGUUAUCCGGAAUUACUGGGCGUAAAGCGUUGCGCAGGUGGGAAGCCGCGUUGCACUUCAAAGUUUGAGGCUCAACCUCACAUCUGGGUGCAAUACGGGUUUUCUAGAGAUUGGUAGGGGCAAGCGGAACUUUCGGUGGAGCAGUGAAAUGCGUUGAUAUCGAAAGGAACACCAAAGGCGAAGGCAGCUUGCUGGGCCAUAUCUGACACUUAGGCACGAAAGCGUAGGUAGCGAACCGG
Molecule: ribosomal RNA, 254 nt
Filed under: uncultured bacterium
Lineage: Bacteria
Description: partial 16S ribosomal RNA
Rfam family: Bacterial small subunit ribosomal RNA
Source: RNAcentral